AGAGUUUGAUCCUGGUUCAGGACGAACGCUGGCGGCGUGCCUAAUACAUGCAAGUCGAACGAGAAUUUCUUACACCGAGUGCUUGCACUCACCGUAAGAAAUUCGAGUGGCGGACGGGUGAGUAACACGUGGGUAACCUGCCCAAAAGAAGGGGAUAACAUUUGGAAACAAAUGCUAAUACCGUAUAACCAUGAUGACCGCAUGGUCAUUAUGUAAAAGGUGGUUUUGCUAUCGCUUUUGGAUGGACCCGCGGCGUAUUAACUAGUUGGUAGGGUAACGGCCUACCAAGGUGAUGAUACGUAGCCGAGUUGAGAGACUGAUCGGCCACAAUGGGACUGAGACACGGCCCAUACUCCUACGGGAGGCAGCAGUAGGGAAUCUUCCACAAUGGGCGCAAGCCUGAUGGAGCAACGCCGCGUGAAUGAAGAAGGUCUUCGGAUCGUAAAAUUCUGUUGUUAGAGAAGAAUAUGAGUAAUAGUAACUGAUUAUUCACUGACGGUAUCUAACCAGCAAGUCACGGCUAACUACGUGCCAGCAACCGCGGUAAUACGCAGGUGGCAAGCGUUGUCCGG
This 572-nucleotide ribosomal RNA is filed under the name uncultured bacterium. Its description in RNAcentral is "bacterial SSU rRNA". It matches the Rfam family "Bacterial small subunit ribosomal RNA", at positions 8 to 548 of the family's 1533-position model. The record is from RNAcentral.